Long non-coding RNA from Equus caballus (horse), 2303 nucleotides. The record is from Ensembl. Lineage: Eukaryota; Metazoa; Chordata; Mammalia; Perissodactyla; Equidae.
GGCAGACUCCUGGGCUAACAGCCCAAGGGACGCACCUCAGUGGCCCCCACCUGUGUCCCUAUCAGCACGCCUGGACCAGCUCAGAACAACGGCCCCCACCAAUGUCUCAGUCUCCGGAGAGGACCCUCCUCUCACCAAGAUGCCCCCAGAGCCCACCAGUUUGUGAGCACUUGGAGGAGAAGAGAAACACAGAGCCCGUGUUUAUUCAUCUCUGUAACCCCGACAUCAGACAGCAUAAAUGCUCCAUGUGUGUUAAAACUGGGAGUAGUCGUGCAGCUUUUGGGGCUCUCCUGGUGUUUGCAGGACAAAGUUUGGCACUCUGUUGAGGAAAAAAACCCAAUAUGGAACAAAUACAGCAACCUUCUCCUUGUCUUCCUGGAACGAAAGUUGAGGCUGGAUCAUAAAUUAUUUAGUAGUACAUCCUUUUUCUUUGGAAUCCAGAAAGCACCUACCAAUAUUUUGGAUAUACUGACACAAAUUCACCACGGCCUUCACUCACUUUUCUCCUUCUCCCUGACCAAGAUGUGAGAAUCAAGAUACACUGCAGCAGAGUAGCAAACCCCAUCGGCUCAGCCAUUCUGACUCUCAUAUUGCUUUGGGCGGUUACCACGAUGCUCACCCUUGCGGAUAUAGACACCCGUGAUUCCUGCAUUACUAAUAUGAUCUCAUCUCUUAUCUAAACUCCUUUGAUGGAACUGGUGGAGAAGUGAUAACCUCUGAAUCAAAGGAAUCUCAAACCACAAGACUCACUGACUAUAAGCAAAAUGACGAUAAAUUUUUAGAGAGGCAGAAGUUUCUUACUUAGGAUUAUUAAAGAAUAUGCUAAAGAAAGAUAAGCAACUUGAGCAGUUACUAAAUAUAUCAAGCACACAUGGGGCUGAGAUAUGUGGGGUGAUUCGCAGCUGAACAAACAAAAUGACUAUUUCUGUAGGGACCCUGAGUAUUUGGUGCUUUGUGAUUGAUGACGCACCCUACUAUUUAAGGAGUGAAGGAGAAUUAUCCUAUCUCAAGUUCAGAAUAGAUUUUUCUCUUCAAGAGAAAAUUAUUUUUAAAUAUUUGAAUGGCGCUUGAGUAAAAUAUGUCUAUCAUAAAAGUUAUCUAACAAUUUACAUUGCCACCAAGAUGACACAGCCUAAGAGCUGUGAUGACAUCAGAGGAAAAUAGAUAUAAUCUAUACAGUACAAGGAACUUCAUUUUUCUUCUUCUGCAAGAAACUGGCUCCAUUACAGUGAUAGUGAUUUUCAGAAAAUGGAUAGUUAUUGAGGUGAGAUUACUUAUGAGGGGAAUGUAGAUUAUUCAGGUGAAAAAGAAUGUAGAGGGGGCCAGCUCUGUGGCCAAGUGGUUAAGUUUGCACGCUCCAAUGCGGUGGCCCAGGGUUCGGAUCCUGGGCGCCGACAUGGCACCGCUCGUCAGGCCACGUUGAGGUGGCGUCCCACAUCCCGCCACAACUAGAAGGACCUGCAACUAAGAUAUACAAAUUUCCUAGAUUGUAUGAUCACCGUAAAAGAGCAGACAAAGCAUAUACUUAUUGGCCCUGUUGUCAUCACUGAACCAAAAUCCACAUGGGAGAAGAUAAAGUAAGAAACAACUUCAAAUUAAAACUAACUUUGAUAAUCAGUAAGGACUAGUCUCAAUACCGUCCAGAGGAGGAAUCACCAGAGCUCAAGUCAAAGUCCAUGAAGACUUCCAUGACCCAGUUUCCUCAGAGCUCAGAAAAGGUCAAACAGAAGCCACUGGCAAAAAGAAGAACCGAAGGACUCCAGUCCUUUGAAAGCCAGCUGAACGGUCAUCGGGAAAGCAUGCCACUACGCCAUGAGAAUACUCAAGCAGCCCAUGGAGAAGCCUAGAGGGGAUCAUGUGAAGCCUUUUGUCAACAAAUAGCAGUAGGUGAGUGAGUCAUCUUGGAAAAGAUCCUAAGCCCCAUGCAAGCCUUUAGGUGACUGUGGCCCUGGACGACCUCUGGACUAUAACCUCAUGAGAGACCCUGAGACAGAAUCACCCAGCUAACUGCUCCCAAGUUCCUGGCCUAUGGAGACUGGGAAGUCAUACAUGUUUAUCGUUACUUUGACCUGCUAUGAUUACAGUAAUUUGUUGUACAGCAAUAGAUACCUAAGACAAAGUCAACCGGUUAUUGUUCUUUCAAAGCCAUGCUUCCAGUGGUUAUUUUUUUCAUACUAAGCACUUUGAUGUUCACAUAUUAAUAAGUUGUUUCAAAAUAACUUGCUCUGUCAUGGUCCUCUGUUUACACGAUAUAAACAUUGUUGAAACAUCUCACUAUGACAAUGAGUUUGCAGUUUCAGUAU